CAUCCUGGGGCUGUAGUAGGUCCCAAGGGUUGGGCUGUUCGCCCAUUAAAGUGGUACGCGAGCUGGGUUCAGAACGUCGUGAGACAGUUCGGUCCCUAUCCGUCGCAGGCGGAGGAAAUUUGAGAAGACCUGUCCUUAGUACGAGAGGACCGGGAUGGACGUACCUCUGGUGUACCAGUUGUCCUGCCAAGGGCAUGGCUGGGUAGCUAUGUACGGAAUGGAUAAGCGCUGAAAGCAUC
This 239-nucleotide ribosomal RNA is filed under the name Clostridioides difficile. RNAcentral's name for it is "partial 23S ribosomal RNA". It matches the Rfam family "Bacterial large subunit ribosomal RNA", at positions 2543 to 2781 of the family's 2925-position model. Lineage: Bacteria; Bacillati; Bacillota; Clostridia; Peptostreptococcales; Peptostreptococcaceae. The record is from RNAcentral.